GGGGUUGUGGCUCAGUGGUAGAGUGCUUGCCUUGCAUGUGUGAGGCACUGAGUUCAAACCUCAGCACCA
This 69-nucleotide transfer RNA is filed under the name Marmota marmota marmota (Alpine marmot). It matches the Rfam family "tRNA". From Rfam's summary of the family: Transfer RNA (tRNA) molecules are approximately 80 nucleotides in length. The record is from Rfam by way of RNAcentral. RNAcentral also lists the same sequence under 3 other names. Lineage: Eukaryota; Metazoa; Chordata; Mammalia; Rodentia; Sciuridae.